CGCGUGGAGGAUGACACUUUUCGGAGCGUAAACUCCUUUUGUUAGGGAAGAACAAUGACGGUACCUAACGAAUAAGCACCGGCUAACUCCGUGCCAGCAGCCGCGGUAAUACGGAGGGUGCAAGCGUUACUCGGAAUCACUGGGCGUAAAGGACGCGUAGGCGGAUUAUCAAGUCUCUUGUGAAAUCCUAUGGCUUAACCAUAGAACUGCUUGGGAAACUGAUAAUCUAGAGUGAGGGAGAGGCAGAUGGAAUUGGUGGUGUAGGGGUAAAAUCCGUAGAGAUCACCAGGAAUACCCAUUGCGAAGGCGAUCUGCUGGAACUCAACUGACGCUAAUGCGUGAAAGCGUGGGGAGCAAACAGGAUUAGAUACCCUGGUAGUCCACGCCCUAAACGAUGUAUACUAGUUGUUGCUAAGCUAGUCUUGGCAGUAAUGCACCUAACGGAUUAAGUAUACCGCCUGGGGAGUACGGUCGCAAGAUUAAAACUCAAAGGAAUAGACGGGGACCCGCACAAGCGGUGGAGCAUGUGGUUUAAUUCGAAGAUACGCGAAGAACCUUACCCGGACUUGAUAUCUAACAAAUCAUCUAGAGAUAGAAGAGUGUCUGCUUGCAGAAAUGUUAAGACAGGUGCUGCACGGCUGUCGUCAGCUCGUGUCGUGAGAUGUUGGGUUAAGUCCCGCAACGAGCGCAACCCACGUCAUUAGUUGCUAACAGUUCGGCUGAGCACUCUAAUGAGACUGCCUUCGUAAGGAGGAGGAAGGUGUGGACGACGUCAAGUCAUCAUGGCCCUUAUGUCCGGGGCGACACACGUGCUACAAUGGCAUAUACAAUGAGAAGCAAUAUCGCGAGAUGGAGCAAAUCUAUAAAAUAUGUCCCAGUUCGGAUUGGAGUCUGCAACUCGACUCCAUGAAGCCGGAAUCGCUAGUAAUCGUAGAUCAGCCAUGCUACGGUGAAUACGUUCCCGGGUCUUGUACUCACCGCCCGUCACACCAUGGGAGUUGAUUUCACUCGAAGCC
This 1016-nucleotide ribosomal RNA is filed under the name Campylobacter concisus. RNAcentral describes it as "bacterial SSU rRNA". It matches the Rfam family "Bacterial small subunit ribosomal RNA", at positions 398 to 1428 of the family's 1533-position model. Lineage: Bacteria; Pseudomonadati; Campylobacterota; Epsilonproteobacteria; Campylobacterales; Campylobacteraceae. The record is from RNAcentral.